Mycena metata is the source of this 92-nucleotide non-coding RNA. NCBI's taxonomy places the organism in Eukaryota, Fungi, Basidiomycota, Agaricomycetes, Agaricales, Mycenaceae. The record is from the annotation of a GenBank genome assembly.
GACCUGGUGGUGUAAAUGGUAACACACUUGCUUUGAUUAACCGAAGAAGAACUUGUAUGCAGGAACUCCCCGUUCGAUUCGGGGUCAGGUCA